UAACAACAACCCAACAAGUUUUAGUAGGUUUGUGUACAGGAUCAUGGAUAAGUGUUUAUUUAUAGGGUCAUACCUUACCAGUGGCUAUACCACUGAAGUGUUCUCUCCCAUCAGCCAUCAGUGCAUAUAAAUUGUCACGGAAGGGUGGAUCCGAGGAGGGCCUCCCUACUCCCUGCCAGGACGUUGAUGGACUCCAUCUUCUGCAGACACGAAUGUCUGUCACGCCAGAGCUCAGGAUGUGCAUCCCGGCGGCUCCCCCAUUUCUCAGGUUCCGUUCUGCCCCUUCUUCUGCAGUGUUCCCUGUGUGUGUGUGUGUGGGGGGGGGGUGCUCUCGACAUCUUGUUCCUCGCUAAAGCAUUCAUCGGUGUCUUUUCUCAGUGCACUGACCAGUGUCUCUGGAAUAAUCACUGCAAGAAGGAAGCCUCUCUCACCAAAGCUGACAACAAUACUAACCUGAGGCAGAAACACAGUUGCUGAGUAGGCAGUUUGAUGGGCACAUCAUGUCCCUUAGCAAAACCGCAGCAGACAUUUCCGUACCAGAACCUGUGGCGGGUUUAGCGAGACAAUGAAGGGAUACGUUCUGCCAACGACAUUCAGUUGUUUGGAAAGGGCUCUUUGGUUGAGCCUUGGAUGAGACCACAGCCCCAGUCAACAUCUGGCGUGCAGCCCCAGGAGUGCCUGAGGCUGCUAAAUCAGCCAAGCCAACAGCAGCCACCUGACCUGGAGAUAUUAGAGAUAAGUGCGUGCUGUCUACCGCUGCCCCGUUUGAAGUGGUUUGUAGCACUCACUAAAACAUGUUGGAUUGAUUACACAAACAAACAAGAGGCUGGUUAAGUACUGGUUAAGCACACUGCUUUUUUUUUUUUUUUUUUAGCCGACUGAGUAUUCUAGCCACUGACUAGAAGGUUAAACUCCAUCACCACAUUGCCUUGUGGUCUAGUGACCUACAUCACCACUGACUGGUGUGGUGUCUCUGUGGACCCGUGGGUGAAGUCCUAGAGAAGCAUGCACCAGCCUGAGAAGUGCACCUAUCUGUUCAAUAGACCUGAGAGUCAUUUUUCUGACACUGGGCAACACUGGGCAGUGAAGAGAGUCAGAUUCCCAUCACGCUCCGGGACAUGUUCCAUGAAGCCCCCUCAUCUGUCAUGUUCUCAGAGGUCAGUGAAACAGAAGAAUCAGAAAUGCUGAUUGGUCAGAGUGAUGGACUCAGAAAUGACUGGUCAAGGUUGUCACUGCAGUCCUGACAGAACUUCUGUAGACCAUUCCUUGAAGGUGCUGCUGGCCGAAGGAUCACCCUGCUCCCAGCAGCCUUGCUCUGGGGCUGGUCACUCGUUCCUUUCCAGUCAGACUGCUGCUCCACACUAGGUAGACUGAGCCAAACAUGAAUGUUGUUGGGAUUUACAAAUAAACUUGAACCUUUCAAAUUUUU
Molecule: long non-coding RNA, 1429 nt
Organism: Mus musculus (house mouse)
Lineage: Eukaryota; Metazoa; Chordata; Mammalia; Rodentia; Muridae
Product: predicted gene, 32666
Exons: 3
Source: RefSeq, a predicted model, not a curated record